This is a long non-coding RNA of Equus caballus (horse), 1137 nucleotides long. RefSeq lists it as uncharacterized. The record is from RefSeq and is a predicted model, not a curated record. NCBI's taxonomy places the organism in Eukaryota, Metazoa, Chordata, Mammalia, Perissodactyla, Equidae.
AGAAACUAAGACCCAGAAAGGGGAAAUGACUCACCCAAGAUCGCACAGUUUGUUUCGAGUAGAUUCUUUUAUCACUAAUGAUGAUAUUGAACAUAUAAACCUACUGUUCCUGUGGAAAUAGAAAGCCUACAGCUGUCCACUCAGAUGCUCAUCCUGAGGAGAGACUUCUGCCUUGGAGGAAAUUAGAAAUCAAAUUCAGAAUGUCUGAUCAAGAUCCUACUAGACUGGUUCCUCUCAGACAUAACAACUAUAAAGUCUGGGCAAGAUAAAACAAACGAACAAAGACUACCUGGAGGCAAUGGAGACUGAGAAAAAUUAAACAGAUUAUGGAGAAUGGUUGGCAUUUGGAAAAAGAAAUGGAAAAGGAUGUUCACAUGAAGAGACAUUAUAGAAUAAGAAUCAAGAAUCAGAAGGGCGUGAGACCUCUCAGCUGCAACGAAUAAAAUUAGAAGACAGUGGAAGAGUGCCCUUAAAAUUCUGAUGGAAAUGGAUUUUCAAUUCAUAAUUCAAUACUCAGCCUAACUGUCAAUAAGAUGAAUGAUACAAUAUCUUUAAGAAUUUAUUUUCUUUUGGAAAUAAUUAUGGGAUGUGCAUCAUCAAAACAAGAUGGCAAGCAAAGAAAGUGGAAGGCGUGGGAUUAAGGGAUCAAGGAUGCAACACAGUGGAGAAGGAAGGAAAUUCCUGGGAAAAAAGGAAAUUCCCAGAAUGGUUUGAAGGGAAGUCCCAGUGGUACAGUGAACCUAGAGGGCCAUCAGUCUAGAAUAAUGGAAAAGGAUGGAGAUAGCGGAGAGAGAAAAUCCUCAAAGAAAAAUGAAACUUAGGGAAUACCUGAUGAGUUUGAACUUUAGAGAAUAUUUUUAGUUUUGCUGAAGAAUUGUGGAUGACAUAGUGAGAGCGAGAUAAAAAUUGAGGAAAUUUAAAAGAUGAUAUUUCCUCUACAGAAAACAAAAAGUUGCUCAUGGAAAGAAAUCUUAUCAUUGUAAACUAUAGGUUCAGCCCUGAAUAAUAUUUAUGUUAUUAUAAUAAACACUAUACUGAUUUAAGCAAAAAGAGUAAGAAGCUAUAUUGAGAUUAUCAGGGAGGAAAAUUAUGUAUGUAUGUCGGGGUAAGAGCUAAAUCUGUUUUUUAAGAUUUUCU